This 500-nucleotide ribosomal RNA is filed under the name uncultured bacterium. Its description in RNAcentral is "partial 16S ribosomal RNA". It matches the Rfam family "Bacterial small subunit ribosomal RNA", at positions 30 to 523 of the family's 1533-position model. The record is from RNAcentral.
AUUGAACGCUGGCGGCAGGCCUAACACAUGCAAGUCGAGCGGAUGACGGGAGCUUGCUCCUUGAUUCAGCGGCGGACGGGUGAGUAAUGCCUAGGAAUCUGCCUGGUAGUGGGGGACAACGUUUCGAAAGGAACGCUAAUACCGCAUACGUCCUACGGGAGAAAGCGGGGGACCUUCGGGCAUUGCGCUAGCAGAGGAGCCUCGGUCGGAUUAGCUAGUUGGUGGGGUAAUGGUUCACCAAGGCGACGAUCCGUAACUGGUCUGAGAGGAUGAUCAGUCACACUGGAACUGAGACACGGUCCAGACUCCUACGGGAGGCAGCAGUGGGGAAUAUUGGACAAUGGGCGAAAGCCUGAUCCAGCCAUGCCGCGUGUGUGAAGAAGGUCUUCGGAUUGUAAAGCACUUUAAGUUGGGAGGAAGGGCAGUAAGCUAAUACCUUGCUGUUUUGACGUUACCGACAGAAUAAGCACCGGCUAACUCUGUGCCAGCAGCCGCAGUAA